Molecule: long non-coding RNA, 4244 nt
Filed under: Malus domestica (apple)
Lineage: Eukaryota; Viridiplantae; Streptophyta; Magnoliopsida; Rosales; Rosaceae
Description: long non-coding RNA (MDOM_LNC003619)
Source: RNAcentral
GUAAAUCCGACCGUGAAUCUGCAAGUAAUGUAAAUAACACAAGAUGUAUCGUGGUUCACCCCAAGGUUUGGGCUACGUCCACACUGAUUGUAUUGUAUUUCUCGGUUGAAGAGGGAGAGAGAGAGCUUAGAGCUUAGGGGGUGUGAGGAAGCUUAGGGUUUGUGAGGGUGAGGAGGCCCUUUUAUAGAAUAAGGGCUCCUCCCCUAAUUACAUAUUUGCCCCUUCCUUUAUUACAUAAUUACAUUUAAGUCCCUCGAGUAUUUAUACGAGGUCUAAAUAUGAGGCCCUAAAUAUGGUAUAAACAGUAGUCCCCCAAGUCUUCAGUCAAGAGAGUCUUUUGGCUGGAGACUUGAAAUUCAGUCCAUGUGUGGGCUGAAGUAACUAGAUGUUGUCUUGAACCGAUGUUCGAUAUGAGGCAGUGCUCAAUCUGAAAUGAUGCUCAACUAGAAGUAGCACACGCUGCUCGGCUGCUCGGCUCGUGGCUUAUGUUGCCUUGGCUAGCUCAGCUUGCGGCGUUUGAAGGUGAAUGAGUCCCUUUUAUAGAAUAAGGGCUCACUCCUCAAUACAUGGAUGAUGGGCUAGAGUUGAUGCUUUCUAAUGGUGGUGAGGGGAGUCCCUUUUAUAGAAUAAGGGCUCGUUCCUCAGUACAUGAAUAAUGGGUUAUGAGUGAUGCUCGUUGCGAGGCGGUUGCUCAGCUGGCGGCGGUGCUCUCUAACGAAGGUGAGGGAGUCCCUUUUAUAAAAUAAGGGUUCGCUCCUCAAUACAUAAGUGAUGGGCUAAGUCCCCCAAGUAUUUUUCACGAGUGCUCUCUAAUGAAAGUGAGGGAGUCCCUUUUAUAAAAUAAGGGUUCGCUCCUCAAUACAUAAGUGAUGGGCUAAGUCCCCCAAGUAUUUUUCAUGAGUGCUCUCUAAUGAAAGUGAGGGAGUCCCUUUUAUAAAAUAAGGGAUCGCUCCUCAGUAUAUAGCUAAUGGGCUAAGUCCCUCGAGUAUUUUUCAUGAGUGCUCUCUAAUGAAAGUGAGGGAGUCCCUUUUAUAAAAUAAGGGAUCGCUCCUCAGUACAUAGAUAAUGGGCUAAGUCCCCAAAGUAUUUUCAUGAGGCCUAGUUGAGGCCCAAUAUAUGGUACAUAAUGUUGUUCCCCAAGUCUUCGGUCAAUAGAGUCUGUUGGCUGGAGACUUUAAAUUGAAUCCAUGUAUGGGCUGAAGUGGCGGUUGUUCGGAGGCGGUAUUUGUACACCCUGCACUGAAGCUUUUUAGGGGAAGCUUUGAAAGUGAGGCUUUGAAGCUAGAGCUCUGUGAAUGAAGCUUUUGAAGCUAGAGCUUUUGUAAAUGAAUCGUUUAAAGCUAAUGGACAUGAGUGAUGCUCAUGAAUGUUUAUGUUGAUUGACAUGAGUGAUGCUCAUGGAUGUUGACAUGAGUGAUGCUCAUGAAUGUUUAUGUAUGAUUGGAUGAGUAAUGCUCAUGAAUGUUUAUGUAUGAUUGACAUGAGUAAUGCUCAUGUAUGAUUUGAAGUACUAGGCAUACUUUUGAUCACCUGGUUGGUGGCAUGAAGGAGAGUACGGGUUGUACAUUUCAUCACCUGGUUGGUGGCAUAAAUGGCUAGUUGCCAAAUGAUAUUAGAGUACGAGUUGUACAUUUCAUCACCUAGUUGGUGGCAUAAAUGGCUAGUUGCCAAAUGAUAUUAGAGUACGGGUUGUACAUUUCAUCACCUAGUUGGUGGCAUAAAUGGCUAGUUGCCAAAUGAUAUUAGAGUACGGGUUGUACAUUUCAUCACCUGGUUGGUGGCAUAAAUGGCUAGUUGCCAAAUGAUAUUAUAGUACAAGUUGUACAGUUCAUCACCUGGUUGGUGGCAUAAAUGGCUAGUUGCCAAAUGAUAUUAGAGUACGGGUUGUACAUUUCAUCACCUGGUUGGUGGCAUAAAUGGCUAGUUGCCAAAUGAUAUUAUAGUACGGGUUAUACAUUUCAUUACCUGGUUGGUGGUAAUAGCGGCAGGUUGCCGAAUAAUUUUUGGAGUACUGGGCGUACUUUUGAUCACCUAGUUGGUGGUAAUAACGGCAGGUUGCCGAAUAGUUGUGGAGUACUGGGCGUACUUUUGAUGACCUGGUUGGUGCUAUUUCGGGCUUAUGGGCUUUUGCCCUCCAUAACAUGCCAGCCCAUUUAUUUUGGGCUUUGCCUUUUUUUUUUUUUUUUUUUAAUACUAUUACCCUCUGAUGGGGUUUAUACAUAUUAAUUACCAUCUGAUAGGAUUUAUACAUAUUACCCUCUGAUGGGGUUUAUACAGAUGUCUUCAAAAGAUAAUAAAUUACAUCACUCUGGUAGGGUGUUUAUUUCUUGCUGUUGCUUCCUCUUUCUCUUUUCCUUUUGCUUUCCAUUGCGUCUCUGUCUCUUGGCGAAACUAGAGGGCUACCUCUCCUUGCUUUUCUUGGACAGCAAGGUCGUGCCCAUCACUCUUCUUUUUUCUUUUUCUCCACUCCAUUUCUUUGCCCAUCCAUGUUCCCCAUCCCUGUCUGAUGGGAUCCUUUAGGCGCAAUUUUUGAUAAUCUUCAAAUCCCUAAAGUAAAAUCAUCAUUGCAGGUAAUCAUUUUGUUUGCCAAACCACUUGCUUUUCUUGGACAGGUUGUGCACAUCCAUUCCCACUCCUCGUGCCCAUCAACAAAGAAAAACUGAGUAAAGGGAACUUUUCCAGGUCUUUGGUACUACCACCUUUUGACUUGAGACUUUUUCUCUUCCUAACUUGGUAGACAUAGAGAAUCACCAAUCAUAGUGCAGCUAUUCCGGCCAACGCAUCGUCAGAGACGUUGAGAAAUUGGAGGCCCUCGAGGCUGGAGACCAACUGAUCUGGCAGGUCGCCGGAGAUCACCUUGCUGGAGAGACAGAGGACCUGAAGUUCUACGUAUUGAAGGUCGCCAACCCAGAUGGUCUGAUCUCAUCGUUGGGCCCCUGUUUUGUGACGGCAGCUGCUGCUGCUGCAGCUGCUUCGACGGUUGUUGAUACACCACAGCCUGAGGCUUCUGCUGGUACUGAUUGUGGUGAGGAUGGUGAGGAGCCGCCCCGUAAGGCAUGUAACGUUGCGGUGGAGAGAGGGCGGCCGGAGCCGUCAUUGUCGACAAGCAUGGUGGCAAGGAUGACUUCGAUGCUAGUACUGGUGAUGAGGUCGAAGAAAUCGACGAUUUGAGCGUGGACGUCGCCAGUUUUGGGUCGGAUCUGAUCUUCGAGGUGGAUCAAGGUGGCUCUGGUUUAUGGAUAUAUUUCUCUGACACCUGUUCCCCUUGGAUGAGCACUUCCUGGACAGUUUUGGAUCCUAAUAACUCCAUCUUCGCAAGCUUUUGUAAUUUUGAGUUGCAAAUUAAAGAUCUGCAAACUGGGCGAGUGUGAUGACCCAGUCAUCCUUGUGGGCACCCCUGUAAAUGCUAGUGCCACCACAUGGUGGUGAUGCAGAAGAAGAUGGUGAUCCCUGAAUGAGCGAGCAAGUGCGGAGCAGAGUAUUGUGAUCGAAUGGUGCCUAGAAGCCGUUGUUGGGCUUCAGCAUCAGGUGAGUAUGGUUGGUUAACAAUCGCGAAGAGGUAACGCAAAGCCAUAUAAAGUAGCUACUGUGCAGAUUUGGAGGUUUACCGAUGUUGAAGGACAAUACUUUGAAGAGGAAGACUGGUGAAGUUUGAAGGACAGUGCUUUAAAGCAGUGCACGCACAUACGCACAGGGUGUGCGUUUUGGUGUUAAUGGGUCUUGGUUUUGGGCCAAUUGAGACUUGGACACUUUUGAGACAGAGCAGAGAAGAAAGAAGAGGGGGGUCGGUGUCUCUUGGGUUUUGCAGAUCCACGGUGGACAGUGGUGAGGUUUCACGGUGGUGAAAUGAAAAAUGAAAGAAAACCGACAUAGUUUUUUGUGUCGAUUCCCACAGACGGCGCCAAAUAUUGAUGCACAAAACUAGAUGUCUUGGAACAACGUAAAUCCGACCGUGAAUCUGCAAGUAAUGUAAAUAACACAAGAUGUAUCGUGGUUCACCCCAAGGUUUGGGCUACGUUCACACUGAUUGUAUUGUAUUUCUCUGUUGAAGAGGGAGAGAGAGAGCUUAGAGCUUAGGGGGUGUGAGGAAGCUUAGGGUUUGUGAGGGUGAGGAGGCCCUUUUAUAGAAUAAGGGCUCCUCCCCUAAUUACAUAUUUGCCCCUUCCUUUAUUACAUAAUUACAUUUAAGUCCCUCGAGUAUUUAUACGAGGUCUAAAUAUGAGGCCCUAAAUAUGGUAUAAACA